This 413-nucleotide ribosomal RNA is filed under the name uncultured microorganism. RNAcentral describes it as "bacterial SSU rRNA". It matches the Rfam family "Archaeal small subunit ribosomal RNA", at positions 330 to 745 of the family's 1478-position model. The record is from RNAcentral.
GCGCACCAGGCGCGAAACCUCCGCAAUGCGGGAAACCGCGACGGGGGACCCCGAGUGCCGUGGCAACGCCACGGCUUUUCCGGAGUGUAAAAAGCUCCGGGAAUAAGGGCUGGGCAAGGCCGGUGGCAGCCGCCGCGGUAACACCGGCAGCCCAAGUGGUAGCCACGUUUAUUGGGUCUAAAGCGUCCGUAGCCGGCUGGGUAAGUUCCUUGGGAAAUUUGGCUGCUUAACAGUCAAGCUUUCAGGGAAUACUGCCCGGCUUGGGACCGGGAGAGGUCAGAGGUACUCCAGGGGUAGGGGUGAAAUCCAUUAAUCCUUGGGGGACCACCGGUAGCGAAGGCGUCUGACCAGACCGGGUCCGACGGUGAGGGACGAAGGCUAGGGGCGCGAACCGGAUUAGAUACCCCCGUAGU